Molecule: long non-coding RNA, 1783 nt
Organism: Octopus bimaculoides (California two-spot octopus)
Lineage: Eukaryota; Metazoa; Mollusca; Cephalopoda; Octopoda; Octopodidae
Source: RefSeq, a predicted model, not a curated record
GGAGCAGGUGAGGUCUCAGGAAGUUUUCGAAGGAAGGGCACAAGGUCAGAAGGGAAUACAAUUCCAGGAGAAAAGGGCGUAAUAACAUUUAGAAGGGCGCACUUCUUUUCUGGAGGGGUGCAGGUACCCCCCCCCCCCACCAGGUCCGUCCCUGGGGAAGGUAAGGGUCAGUUUUGAUGUUCAUCUGUGUCAAGUAGUUGGUCACUAAGAUGGGAUUGUGACAAGCAGUUGUUAAUAGGCUAUAACAAGCAGUAUUUAGUAAGGUGUGUUGAAGAUGCUGUUACAGCCGUCUCUGUCAAUCUGAAAUGAAAAGAAAUUGGCAGAUGAGCUUAUAUGUAUAGUAACGAUACUAAAAUUACAAUAACCUAGGACAGGUACAACUGUCUCUCCUCUAGAAAAUGUCUCAAAACUUCUGUAAUGCAUCUCGUAUGAAGUAAAACUGAAAAACUGUAUUAUAUCCAAUUGAUCUCAAAAUAGCUACUACCGACUUUAGGACAGUUACACAGUUCACGAUAGAAGCAAAAAAAAAAAAAAAACUCGUUUCAGAUAGCAACCGCUCGUUUUGGUGGGAGCGGCGAUGCCUCGUCAUCAACCAACACUUAACAGGAUGGAACAGUCAUUCGCUUUGAGACAGUUAUAAAGAGUGGUUUCUCAGAUAACGAUACCGCAUGAGGAAGUAUUCGAUACAAGCUUCGAUAACUGCUUUGGCACGGGACCAAAAUCAUUGACAUAACCUACACUAAAUAAUCCUUAUUUAUUUGGGACAUCACCUGGAGAAUGGCGACCUUUAAUGAUCGUUAAGGUAUUGUGAAGAUGCCCAUUAGUCUCGGUUCCAACAAUGCUACAAAUGGAGUAGUCCAUCGGAUUUAUAUGAGGCGAGUUUGGAUGUCACAAAUUUAGAUACCACAUGAUCGAAAACAUUUAUUUCUUUAUUGCCCACAGGGGGCUAAACAUAGAGGGGACAAACAAGGACAAAAUUAAGUCGAUUACAUCGACCCCAUUGCGUAACUGGCACUUAUUUAAUCGACCCCGAAAGGAUGAAAGGCAAAGUCGACCUCGGCGGAAUUUGAACUUAGAACGUAACGACACACGAUAUACUGCAAAGCAUUUCGCCCGGCCUGCUAACGAUUCUGCCAGUUCGCCUUGAUCGAAAACAUUGUCUGACGUUCAUUCAUGGGUUAUAUGGGUUUUGUGAAGAUGUGUUGAGUCUUAUGGAAACGCGUAUGACUUUGCACUACGUACUUUAUCCAUCCAGGGCAUAAUAACUGUCCAGCACCUCAACGUAUCCGGCAGCAUUAAUUCUAAGGACUCCGUGGAAAGAUGCGAAGUGGCAUAAAAUGACCUUCGUUACUCACCACUCCUAAAACUAUCAUAGUUGCAGGAAACUCAUAGUGCACGAACUGGCCGCUCUACUGUAAGUUCGCAAUUUCUAAAUUGCCCUGUCCAGCACAUAUGGCAACAAGACUUCGUUUCUUGUGUUAAUAUUUAAUCUAUUAUAAUGGAUUGGAAAGAAAUAAAAGCCUUUUAAUUGAUUUAAAUUAAAUGUCCUCAAAUAUUCCUCACGCGCGCGUGCGCAUAUAUAUAUAUAUAUGUAUGAGGACGCAUGGCCUAGUGGUUAGAGUGUUGCACUAACGAUCGCUUUGAUCAAAAACGACUCCUGUCCGCUCGUCCACCAGAGAGAUUAAACUUGGAGUGCCUUGAUUAUAUCUAAAGAUGUUCACUCAACUCUGUAUUUAUAUUUUUAAUCGUGGUUUUCAUUUUGGAUUAAAAAUUUGCAAUUUUA